GGUCUUUGUGGGAAGAAACAGAAAGAAAUCACAAAAGCAAUUAAGAGAGCUCAAAUAAUGGGUAAGAGCAUCUGAAAAACUGAAUUGGACUACUCGAAAGUUUUUGCUCGUUAUCUUUUGUGAAGAACUUUCAUUCUUUUUUACAGGGUUUAUGCCAGUUACAUACAAGGAUCCUGCAUAUCUCAAAGACCCUAAAGUUUGUAACAUCAAGUAUCGGGAGUAAAUUACAUGUCUUAUCAUCAGUAAAUGUAUUUUACAAUAAAUGGUUGUAUGGUUUUAAUAUUGACUCAAAUUAGAAGAUUUAAUAAUCUUUGAGUAGAAAAUAGGCUAAAUCUUGCCAAAUGCUUGUAAGUUUUAAAUUCUUAAUAAUUGAGAUCUUACAAGGAAAAAGUGCUUCCACUGCUCAUUAAAGAAACAUUAUUUAAAAUGUUAAUACUCAUCACAUUUUACAUACAUACAAACUUUAAAAAUUGGUACUGUAGGAUUGUCAUUUUAUCUGGUCCCCACUUAGCUCAUACCAUAUACAACUCAUAUUGGGAUUUUAAGUAUGGGAUAGAGGACUUGGAAUUUUACUUGAGUCCCAGAUUUUGUCUUGUAAAUGGGAUUUUAGGCAUAUGGUUGCAUCAAGGUAGAAUGCUUUUAUUAAUGCCCAAAUUCCAUGUGACAGAGUGUAGACUUGAAAUUGCUUAGAUUUUCUAACUACCAAUAUUUAAGUAUGCCUGGCCAGGACAGUGGGUGUUCCCUUUAUAGAGACAUUAGUUAUGCAGGUAUGGAUAGUGGUGCAGUCAAAGGCCCUAACAUUUAUUCCUGGGCUAGUCUAUCUUGAAACUGGUAGUGUACUUUUUUUUUUUUUAAGCAUUUACUUACUUUCGAGAGAUAGAGACAGAGCAUGGACGGGGGAGGGGCAGAGAGAGGAAGACACUGAAUCCAAAGCAGGCUCCAGGCUCAGGGUUGUUAGCACAGAGCCCGACACGAGACCCAAACUCAUGGAUGGUGAGAUCAUGACCUGGGCCAAAGUCGGACACUUAACCAACUGAGCCACCCAGGUGUCCCAGUAGCAUAAUUUAAAAUGAUCCAUAAACAAAUGGUCUAGUAAUUAAUUGCCAAAAGAUGAGUAACUGGGGGAAAAUGAUAUAGAAGGACCCUUUUCCUUCUUUUCAUUUAAUACCAAAAGGUGGGUCAUCAAACUUAAUUAUGGAAAUUCAGCUGGUACUGACCUUAGCAUGCUUCUCUAUGACUGGAAGUUUAGCAUUUCUUUCUUCAAGAUGGAUCACUGUGCCAAAGUAUGAACUAAAUACAUUACCUCUCUAUAGUGCUUUAGCAAACUGAACUUUGUAUGAAGGCCUGUUUCUUUUAAGGAGUCUGAAAAAUCUUUAGUUACUGUCUUAAGACAUUUGCAUAUGUUGGUUGCUUAUUGCUUCUGCUGGUCCUAGUCUAGCUUUUUUUUUUUUAUUUAAAAAAAUUUUUUUUAACGUUUAUUUAUUUUUGAGACUGAGCAUGAACGGGGGAGGGGCAGAGAGAGAGAGGGAGACACAGAAUCGGAAGCAGGCUCCAGGCUCUGAGCCAUCAGCCCAGAGCCCGACACGGGACUCAAACUCACGGACCGCGAGAUGGUGACCCGGGCUGAAGUCGGAUGCUUAACCGACUGAGCCACCCAGGCGCCCCUAGUCUAGCUUGUUUUAUCUGUUGAUUAGUAGACUGGUACAUGGAGGGCAGGAAAACACUAAAGACGCAGAUGACUCCGGACUAGUAAGUAGCAGCGUAAAUAAGCAAGAGAACUUACUUACAAAGCUGGUCUUGGGUGACCACAAGACAGAUCUCAGAAAAACAGAUCUCUGCACCUGCCUGUCAAGAGUCUUAAAAGUUUAUAUUGAGGCCUUAACUGGAUUUAGUCACACACAAUCCAUAUGGUCUUAACAGCUUGCUUUCUCAAGUCCAUGUCCUUGGAACACUCCCAAUGUGGUAACAGUAGGCAAAGUGUACAUUCCAAGGAUGGGAGGGGGUGAGGAACCUUUGUCUCAGUCCAGCAUACAGGUAAACUAGGUGAUGUGUGCUCAGUGACCUCCAGCAAAUCAUUUGUUGGCUGCAUUUAGUCAUUAUGUUCUAUGUGAUGCUCUAUAUGCUCUAGUGAUAUUUGUGGUUAUUUUAAUUUUAGUGUGUGUGAGUGGGGUGGGGAGGGGCAGAGGGAAAGAGAAUCUUAAGCAGUCUCCACGCUCAGUGCAGAGCCCAACACGGGGCUUGGUCCCACAAACCCAGGAUCAUGACCUGAGCCAAAAUCAAGAGUCAGAAACUCAACCAACUGAGCCACCCAGCUGCCCACCUGCCCCAUUUGUGGUUAUUUUUAAGUCAGGUUUCAGACUGCCAACCUAUUUCCCCUCCCUCUGCCCUGUGUUGUUACACCACAGUGCUUCUUAGGUAACCAGUUAAACAGCCCCAACAGAAACUCUUUAUACAAAACAUCUCAGUUGUUAUGUGGGCUUCAUUAGCACCCCAUGGGUAACUAAUACAUGUUAACAUAGAUAAAAGACAAUUUUGAUAGUAGCUAGGAAUUUGUUCUGCCACUAGAAGUAGCAGAUGGAAAAGCUAUGCUCAAAGUUUGUGUUCAGCAUUUCAUCCAGUGAGUGAAACAUGAAGGCUUCAUAUAAUGUGUAGGCCUUGUGGAAAAUUCUCACAAUUAUGUAAAAGAAAUAAAACACACAGUAAAAGCUCUCUUAGGCAACUUCCAUUUAACCAGCUCACUGGAUUAAACUGGAGCUUUACAUCCUCAAAUAUCAUACUGAAGCCCAUAAUUCUUCAAACCUGUUGAGUUCUACAUUGCCAAGAGUCAGCUAUUUUGUUCCCAAGUCUGUGUCAGUUUCGUCACUGUAUUGAAGUAGGAGCAUUAAAAAGUUACUGCAAUGAAAACUAAGUAAAUGCUUUCUAACUGACUGCACCACCCAGGGUGCCUGGGUGGUACAGUCAGUUAAGUGUCCCACUUCGGCUCAGGUCAUGAUCUCGUAGUUCAUGAAUUCAAGACCCACAUCAGGCUCUGUGCUGACAACUCAGAGCCUGGAGCCUGCUUCAGAUUCUGUGUUUCCUCUCUCUGCCCCUCCUCCGCUCGUGUGCGCGUACUCUUUCUCUCUCAAAAAUAAAUUAAAACAUUAAAAAAAAAUAGUUGUCAAGUUAGGUGUGGUUAGGACAACUAAAGAAGGGUGGAAGUAGGAGGAUGCUGUAAAAUGGAAAAAAAAAAAAGUAGUAGCAUUUUGUGCUUAGGUUGCUUUGCAAGCUUCUUUAAAUUCUUUAUAAAGAAACUAAAACUGGGAACUAUAAAAGUAAUGGAUGUGACUUAUAUAGGAACACCAGUAUACUCACAGAAAAGUUCCUAGCCCUACAACAAAAGGUUGACAAAAUGCAUGUACGACUCCACUUUAUGUUAAAAUGAAAUCUGCGAUAGACAUGUAUAUAUAAAUAUAUAUACACAUAUGCACGAUUUUUGGUUCCCACUUUAACUGGUGUUUCUAGCUACUUGACCAGCUACUGACCUCAGACACACCAUUACCAUACUUGUCCUGUACUCAAGUACUGGAUUCACUCAAUUUUGUGUAGAGGACUCUAGACUAGGAAGAGAUUAUUUGUGCUGUAUUUUAGUUGUGUCAUGAUCAGAACUGCCAGAUUUAGCAAAUAAAAAUAUAGGACAUGCAAUUAAAUUUGAAUUUCAGAUAACCAAUGAAUAAUUUUUUAAUGAAUGUCCCUAAUAUUGCAUGUUUCCAGCAUUUUAUCUGGCAACCCUAGCCACUUAUAACUUAAGGAAUAGAAACUGUAAUGACUUAAAAUGAAAUACCUCUUCAUAUUUUUAGACAUCUUCUUCUAUUGUGUUCUAAUGCUAGUCUUUCUUUUCCAAUUCUAAAGUAUGCUAUAUAAAUUUAAAAAAACCAUCUACUUAAAUUAAGCCUUUCCCUCAACAGUUUUGUAAAAGGGGCA
This 3960-nucleotide long non-coding RNA is filed under the name Lynx pardinus (Iberian lynx). Lineage: Eukaryota; Metazoa; Chordata; Mammalia; Carnivora; Felidae. The record is from RNAcentral.